RNAcentral lists this ribosomal RNA (301 nucleotides) under uncultured bacterium. Its description in RNAcentral is "partial 16S ribosomal RNA". It matches the Rfam family "Bacterial small subunit ribosomal RNA", at positions 509 to 808 of the family's 1533-position model. The record is from RNAcentral.
CAGUCGCCGCGGUAAUACGAGGGGGGCAAGCGUUGUUCGGAUUUAUUGGGCGUAAAGGGUGCGUAGGCGGUUUGAUAAGUCUGAUGUGAAAUCUUCAGGCUCAACUCCAGAACUGCCUUUGAUACUGAUAGUCUUGAGUAUGGGAGAGGUGAGUGGAACUGCGAGUGUAGAGGUGAAAUUCGUAGAUAUUCGCAAGAACACCAGUGGCGAAGGCGGCUCACUGGCCCAUAACUGACGCUGAGGCACGAAAGCGUGGGGAGCAAACAGGAUUAGAUCCCGAGUAGUCCCUGUCUCUUAUACA